Long non-coding RNA from Sinocyclocheilus grahami, 513 nucleotides. RefSeq lists it as uncharacterized. The transcript has 4 exons. NCBI's taxonomy places the organism in Eukaryota, Metazoa, Chordata, Actinopteri, Cypriniformes, Cyprinidae. The record is from RefSeq and is a predicted model, not a curated record.
AUUGUGAGAAAAAAAAGUCGCAAUUACCUCUUUUAUUUUUUAUUCAGUGGCGGAAACGGGUUUCCAUACAAUUGGCAUGGCUACAGUUCUCAGAAAUAAUAAUUUUGUCCAUUAUCUAUUAUCCAUUAUCCCGGAGAGAGAUCUUCAUGUGUUUUGCCCACAACAAAACUUGUGUUGUAUGUUGGUCUGGAGCAGGUGGAACCUUCAUAAAGAUGAUUAAGAGCAGGAAUGCUCUUAAAAGCUUUCGGUAUGGAGAUAAAGGACCAAACUCCUUGUCAUCGCUGGUUUCAAAGCACAAGAUAAAGACAAAGCACGAGAUUAGGGGUGCUCCGAUUUAUCGGCAGUCCCUCUAAAGGCCGAUGUCAUAAACCGAUCUCAAGCUGAUGAUGCGCCUGUCGUGAGAGGUUUGGCAUGACAUACAGCGGCACGGUCUCAAUCUCUGUCCGGUGCGGGUAAAAUAAUUAUAAUGCUGAAGAUAUUGCUUCCUGUGAUUGACGAUCAAUGAUCAGCUCC